AGAGCGAACGCUGGCGGCAGGCCUAACACAUGCAAGUCGAACGGACUCUUCGGAGUUAGUGGCGGACGGGUGAGUAACACGUGGGAACGUGCCUUUUGGUUCGGAAUAGCUCCUGGAAACGGGUGGUAAUGCCGAAUGUGCCCUUCGGGGGAAAGAUUUAUCGCCAUUAGAGCGGCCCGCGUCUGAUUAGCUAGUUGGUGAGGUAAAGCUCACCAAGGCUACGAUCAGUAGCUGGUCUGAGAGGAUGACCAGCCACAUUGGGACUGAGACACGGCCCAAACUCCUACGGGAGCAGCAGUGGGGAAUCUUGCGCAAUCGGGACGAAAGCCUAGACGCAGCCAAGUGCCG
Molecule: ribosomal RNA, 348 nt
Filed under: uncultured soil bacterium
Lineage: Bacteria
Description: bacterial SSU rRNA
Rfam family: Bacterial small subunit ribosomal RNA
Source: RNAcentral